AUUUGAUUAGAAUUUUUUUAGAAUUUAUUUAGGAUUUGAUUAAGAUUUAUCUAGAAUUUGAUUAGAAUUUUUCAAGGAUUUGAAUAAGAUUAGUCUAGGAUUUGAUCAAGAUUUGUUUAGAAUUUUAUUAGAAUUUAUUUAAGAUUUGAGUAAUAUUUUUUUAGAAUCUUUUUGGAGAUUUUUUUAUUAUUUGAUUAAAUUGUUUUUAGAAUUUGUCUAUGAUUUAUCUAAGAUUUGAUUAAGAUUUAAUUAGGAUUUAUUUUUAUUUUAUAAUUUAUUUGAAAAUUUAAUUGAACUUGAUCA
This 303-nucleotide long non-coding RNA is filed under the name Physcomitrium patens. RNAcentral's name for it is "long non-coding RNA (PPAT_LNC002640)". Lineage: Eukaryota; Viridiplantae; Streptophyta; Bryopsida; Funariales; Funariaceae. The record is from RNAcentral.